AAUCCCCUAGGGGACGCCACUUGCUGGUUCGUGAGUGAAAGACGCGUGCCGAACUAUCUCAAAACUCAUCUUCGGGUGACGUUUGAGAUAUUUGCUCUUUAAAAAUCUGGAUCAAGCUGAAAAUUGAAACGACACACNGUCGCAAGACCAAAGUGGGGGACCUUCGGGCCUCAUGCCAUCAGAUGUGCCCAGAUGGGAUUAGCUAGUAGGUGGGGUAACGGCUCACCUAGGCGACGAUCCCUAGCUGGUCUGAGAGGAUGACCAGCCACACUGGAACUGAGACACGGUCCAGACUCCUACGGGAGGCAGCAGUGGGGAAUAUUGCACAAUGGGCGCAAGCCUGAUGCAGCCAUGCCGCGUGUGUGAAGAAGGCCUUCGGGUUGUAAAGCACUUUCAGCGGGGAGGAAGGCGUUGAGGUUAAUAACCUUGUCGAUUGACGUUACCCGCAGAAGAAGCACCGGCUAACUCCGUGCCAGCAGCCGCGGUAAUACGGAGGGUGCAAGCGUUAAUCGGAAUUACUGGGCGUAAAGCGCACGCAGGCGGUCUGUCAAGUCGGAUGUGAAAUCCCCGGGCUCAACCUGGGAACUGCAUUCGAAACUGGCAGGCUAGAGUCUUGUAGAGGGGGGUAGAAUUCCAGGUGUAGCGGUGAAAUGCGUAGAGAUCUGGAGGAAUACCGGUGGCGAAGGCGGCCCCCUGGACAAAGACUGACGCUCAGGUGCGAAAGCGUGGGGAGCAAACAGGAUUAGAUACCCUGGUAGUCCACGCCGUAAACGAUGUCGAUUUGGAGGUUGUGCCCUUGAGGCGUGGCUUCCGGAGCUAACGCGUUAAAUCGACCGCCUGGGGAGUACGGCCGCAAGGUUAAAACUCAAAUGAAUUGACGGGGGCCCGCACAAGCGGUGGAGCAUGUGGUUUAAUUCGAUGCAACGCGAAGAACCUUACCUGGUCUUGACAUCCACAGAACUUUCCAGAGAUGGAUUGGUGCCUUCGGGAACUGUGAGACAGGUGCUGCAUGGCUGUCGUCAGCUCGUGUUGUGAAAUGUUGGGUUAAGUCCCGCAACGAGCGCAACCCUUAUCCUUUGUUGCCAGCGGUUCGGCCGGGAACUCAAAGGAGACUGCCAGUGAUAAACUGGAGGAAGGUGGGGAUGACGUCAAGUCAUCAUGGCCCUUACGACCAGGGCUACACACGUGCUACAAUGGCAUAUACAAAGAGAAGCGACCUCGCGAGAGCAAGCGGACCUCAUAAAGUAUGUCGUAGUCCGGAUUGGAGUCUGCAACUCGACUCCAUGAAGUCGGAAUCGCUAGUAAUCGUAGAUCAGAAUGCUACGGUGAAUACGUUCCCGGGCCUUGUACACACCGCCCGUCACACCAUGGGAGUGGGUUGCAAAAGAAGUAGGUAGCUUAACCUUCGGGAGGGCGCUUACCACUUUGUGAUUCAUGACUGGGGUGAAGUCGUAACAAGGUAACCGUAGGGGAACCUGCGGUUG
RNAcentral lists this ribosomal RNA (1484 nucleotides) under Klebsiella pneumoniae BIDMC 47. RNAcentral's name for it is "bacterial SSU rRNA". It matches the Rfam family "Bacterial small subunit ribosomal RNA". The record is from RNAcentral. Lineage: Bacteria; Pseudomonadati; Pseudomonadota; Gammaproteobacteria; Enterobacterales; Enterobacteriaceae.